GUUCAAGUCACUUUUUGACCUUUCUAAGUCUCUAGAUGUCCCUCUCUCUCUCUCUCUCUCUCUCUCUCUCUCUAUUCUGGACUUUCAUCUUCUUCGUCUGAUUUUCUUCGAUCUUUUUGAUCUCUUAUGAGUGAUCUAGCUAGAAUAUUAGUUGAAUCUAUGGGAUUCAUGUUGCUACAGUAAUCAAGCCUGAAAUAUUGGCUGAUUUGGUGUUUGUAGUGGUUGGCAAAAAGUCAUGUUCCUAUUUUUGGUAAGGUUCUUGAGAUUUAAGAGAUCCAAGUGUGGAUCGAUGAUUAUCUCUAAGUCCAAUUCCGUCUUCAUGCUUGUACUCCAUUUGGAUGGUUUUUUUGUGCUUAGUAAUCGGGCUAAUCUCUGAGCCUCCAGAUUAGGCAAUUGCCGAACUAGGUGAACAAUUUAUCGCGUUCAUUUACUUUUCUUGCACUGUGUUUGAUGUUUCCUUUACAGUUUUCUUUAACAAUAAGUAGGAAGAAAGCCUAACAACUGGUAUUAGAGCCUUUGAGGUUCUUGGGGGUGCAAGUUUUUGAACCAAAAAUUGUUUGAGUUAAUUUUUCUUGGUCUGAUUUUUCUUGGGGUUGCCAAUUUUCUUAACAAACUGUGAGGCCAGCAAUAUUAGAUCAGUUUUUUAAUAUAAACUAAAAGAUCUAAUUCUUGUCUUUUCUGUAUUGUUGUUUUGGAAGGAAAAAGGUUGGUGAAAGGUGGUAAGACAACUACGGUCUACUUCCAGAAAUGAGGAGUUCUUUCUGUCCUCAAGUUGAGACCAGCAGUGUGUUCUUCUUUAUUGUUAAGACAGUCUAUGGUGAGUACGUUUUAAUUUUUUUUGCUUUUGUAGAGUAAUUUCAAUUCUUGAUAUUUGAUAUGAGAUAUAUACAUGUGAUACAUGGUAGAAUGGGUACUGUGAUUUGAAUUGGAUACUUCUGUUAGUGUGAGCAUAUUGCAUUAGAUAAGUUCUUCUAUAUAACUUGGUGUACUCACUCUGUAUCAAAUAUUAUUGUUCUUAUUUCAAAUUUGGUGAACAUAUAUCUGCGUGGAUUCUUGGAAUUUUUUCAAAACCAUUUUCUGCUCACUAGUUGAUCUUUAAUUCAAGAUUAAAACUAUGUCCAUGAGUAUAGGCUACCCUUUUACAAAACUCGUGAUGGGUUCGAAGGUCGAAUUGUCUAAAUUCGAUGGAAAGGAGGAUUACUCUAUAUGGAAGCAGAAAAUGAGAGCUAUUUUGGUUCAACAGAGUGUCGCUAAGGCCCUUUAUGAUCCUAAAACUUUUUCUGCAGAACUUAAGACAAAACCAAAUGAAAUUGAAGACAUGAAUGAAAUUGCUUAUAGUUCCAUAAUUUUACAUUUGUCUGAUAACAUUGUAAGGCAAGUUGAUGAACCCAAAACUACUAGAGCCCUAUGGACUACUCUUGAUGCUAUGUUCCUAACUAAAACACUUCCAAAUAAAAUUUUUCUCUUGGAGAAGCUGUUUAACUUUAGGAAAGACCUUGAGAAGGACUUAGAGGUAAAUUUGAGUGAAUUUAGUAUAAUAGUGAAAAGCCUUGCACACAAUGAGAAAAAAUUUGAUGAUGAAGACCUUGUUGUAAUCCUGCCAAACUCAUUACUUGACUCAUAUAAAAAUGUUUAAAAAAAAAAAAAAAAUACUCAAGGGAUAAACUAACUCAAGCUAUAGUCAUUGAUGCUUUGAGGCCUAGGUAGUUAGAAGUCAAAAUGGAAACUAAAUCUAAUCCUAGAGAUGAAAGCAUGUAUGUAGGAAGAAGACCUGUAAAGAGAGAGUAAUUUUUCCACAAAGAAGGGAAAAGGGAAAUUCAAAACCAUAUCAAAAUUUAGAGAUAAAAGCAACAAGAAGUGUUACAUUGUGGAAAAUUGGGACACUUCAAAAGGGAUUGCUUUGAACCAAAAAGGAAACAAAGAGAUCUUAAUAAUGGGGAGUUAAAUAAUAACACUAUGGAAGCUGGGGUUGACAGUCUCUAUGGUGAGGAAGUUAAUAAAGAUUGGUUAUUAAAGUCCAAGUGUACCUUUCACACGUGCCCUAUAAAAGAUUGGUUCCAUAAUUACAAAGAAAUAGAACCGAGGAAAGUGUACUUGAGGGAUAAUAAUUCACAAACUAUUGUUGUAAUUGGAAAUAUUGCCAUAAAAAUGCAUAAUGGCACUGUCAAGUCAAUCUUGAAUGUAAGAUAUGUUUCUAAUCUGAAAAGAAACCUAAUAUCCUUAGGGAUUCUUGAAGAUGAAGUACAUACCUUCAAGUCUGACAACAAAGUAUUAAAAAUAAUGAAAGGUUCACUUGUUGUGAUGAAAGGAUAAAAAAUAGAUGGGUUGUACUAGCUUGAAGGUAAAGCGAUUAAUGUUCUUGAUUCCAAUCUACCCACCGUUACUGAGAAUAAAACUGAAUUGUGGCACGAAAGAAUGGGACAUAUUGGGAAUAAAGGGUUUUAAAAUCUUUAAGUAAUCAAAGGUUGCUUGGAAAAGAUUUUGUUGAAACCAUAGAAUUUUGUGAAACCUGUGUUCUUGGAAAAUCUCACCGGAUGAACUUUGAAACAGGUUCACAUGUUACUAAGAAACCCUUAGAUUAUGUCCAUGCCGACUUAUAGGGGCUUGAAAGUCACCCCACUUUUGGUGGCAAUAGAUAUUUUUUUUCAUCUAUUGUUGAUGAUUAUUUUAGAAAAGUGUGGGUCUUUUCUUUUAAAGGCUAAGUCUGAUACCUUUCAAAAAUUCAGAAUAUGGUUGAAAAUCAAUUGGAUAAAAAAUUUAAAAUCUUAAGGACUGACAAUGGUCUUGAAUUCUGAAUUUCAAAACUUCUGUAAACAGAAAGGUAUCUUGAGACAUAGGACUGUCAAAAACACCCCCAACAAAAUAGGACCUUGAUGAAUAAGGUCAUAUGCAUGCUGAUCAGUUCAGGGCUUACAAAAGGGUUCUGGACUGAAGCAGUGUGUACAGCUACUUAUCUAAUUAAUAGAUCACUUUCAAGUUCCAUUGGACUUAAAACACCCCGGGAAUUAUGGUCUGUCAAAAAACUAGACCUGUCUAAUACCAAGGUAUUUAGGUAUGCUGCUUGUGCACGUCAAGUUGAAGGGAAGUGAGACCCAAGGGCAACAAAAUGUAUUAUGUUGGGUUACUCUGAAGGUAUAUAUUUUAUGUGGUUAUAAUAUUAUACUAGUAUCGAUAUAAUACCAAUCAUGACAUAUAUUUUAAAAGUUUAGUAAAGAACAAAUUACUAUUAAGUAGUAAAGUAUAUCCCUCUAUAAUACACAACAUUGACUCUUCUAGUUUAUGUUUGGUUCUAUCUUUAGACUAAAGGAAAACCAAGCCCGACAGAAUAAGCAUUUGAAAGCUUUUAUAACAUGUUAAAAUUUAAUUGGAAUAUUUUUAACUUUUUAUCAAAUACAUCCCAUCAAAAUAUUGAACAAAAAUAAACAUCUGUGAUACACCGAUAAUAUGUUAUUCCUAAACAACAAAAAUAAAUUCGUGGCAUGUUUCAAAUUCUAGUGGUCAAAUGAAAUCAUAAGAGAAUUAUCAUUAACAAUUAUGAGAAGUCUUACAGAAGCAAUUUCUCUUCAUUCACCAUGCAAAUAUGAUCUAAAGUCCAAUCUAACUAUCAACUAAAAUACGUUAGAAUAUAAUAAAGAGACUUCAUUUUGCAUGUUCAUACGUAUAAACACAUUCCGAUUUCAAAUAUUCAAUCCAAUGCAACGCCAUGGAUAUUUUUCAAAGAAUAAAUUUGGGAACAAAGAUUGAGAAGAAAAUUCCUUUGUCGCCAGAUAAGGAUUGGCAUUUCCCGCAUCACAAUUUUUUUUUUCUUUUCAGACAAAAAAUUGUUUAUUGAUCAACGAGAAAAUAAAGCUUUUGCAUAAUUAUUAGGCGAGAUUAAAUUGCACGGUAUUCUUUUAAAAUAUUUGCAUGCACAGGUCACGAUUCUUCAAGAAUAUAACUAUAUUUUUUCGAUUAUUAAUACGAUAUUUAAUUAUAUCAUAUUUAGUUAUUCUUUUUUCAGGAUUGUAAAAUAAUUAAACAUUAUUAGAAAUUAUAUGAUAUUUUCAAGAUUUAUGGUAUUUUAGGAG
This 4067-nucleotide long non-coding RNA is filed under the name Olea europaea subsp. europaea. The record is from RNAcentral. Lineage: Eukaryota; Viridiplantae; Streptophyta; Magnoliopsida; Lamiales; Oleaceae.